GUAAUAAGUAGUUGUAAGUCGCUCUGGAUAAGAGCAUCUGCGAAAUGACUUAAA
This is a non-coding RNA of Salmo salar (Atlantic salmon), 54 nucleotides long. Lineage: Eukaryota; Metazoa; Chordata; Actinopteri; Salmoniformes; Salmonidae. The record is from Rfam.